GGCGCUUAAGCGCGCGAC
RNAcentral lists this small nuclear RNA (18 nucleotides) under Arabidopsis thaliana (thale cress). RNAcentral's name for it is "snRNA_18300". The record is from RNAcentral. Lineage: Eukaryota; Viridiplantae; Streptophyta; Magnoliopsida; Brassicales; Brassicaceae.